UACGUAGGGUGCAAGCGUUGUCCGGAAUUACUGGGCGUAAAGCGCGCGCAGGCGGCCCGCGGGGUGUCACGUGAAAGCCCCGGGCUCAACCCGGGAGGGUCGUGGCAAACCGGCGGGCUUGAGGCCGGUAGAGGUGGGUGGAACUCCUGGUGGAGUGGUGAAAUGCGUAGAGAUCAGGAAGAACACCCGUGGCGAAGGCGGCCCACUGGGCCGGUACUGACGCUGAGGCGCGAAGGCGUGGGGAGCGAACGGG
RNAcentral lists this ribosomal RNA (253 nucleotides) under uncultured bacterium. Its description in RNAcentral is "partial 16S ribosomal RNA". It matches the Rfam family "Bacterial small subunit ribosomal RNA", at positions 524 to 776 of the family's 1533-position model. The record is from RNAcentral.